UACGUAGGGCGCAAGCGUUGUCCGGAAUUAUUGGGCGUAAAGAGCUCGUAGGCGGCCUGUUGCGUCCGCUGUGAAAUCCCGGGGCUCAACCCCGGGCCUGCAGUGGAUACGGGUUGGCUGGAGGCAGGCAGGGGAGAACGGAAUUCCUGGUGUAGCGGUGAAAUGCGCAGAUAUCAGGAGGAACACCGGUGACGAAGGCGGUUCUCUGGGCCUGUUCUGACGCUGAGGAGCGAAAGCGUGGGGAGCGAACAGG
RNAcentral lists this ribosomal RNA (253 nucleotides) under uncultured bacterium. Its description in RNAcentral is "partial 16S ribosomal RNA". It matches the Rfam family "Bacterial small subunit ribosomal RNA", at positions 524 to 776 of the family's 1533-position model. The record is from RNAcentral.